UACGUAGGGUGCAAGCGUUAAUCGGAAUUACUGGGCGUAAAGCGUGCGCAGGCGGUGAUGUAAGACAGGUGUGAAAUCCCCGGGCUUAACCUGGGAACUGCAUUUGUGACUGCAUCGCUGGAGUGCGGCAGAGGGGGAUGGAAUUCCACGUGUAGCAGUGAAAUGCGUAGAGAUGUGGAGGAACACCGAUGGCGAAGGCAGCCCCCUGGGUCAAAACUGACGCUGAGGCACGAAAGCGUGGGGAGCAAACAGG
Molecule: ribosomal RNA, 253 nt
Filed under: uncultured bacterium
Lineage: Bacteria
Description: partial 16S ribosomal RNA
Rfam family: Bacterial small subunit ribosomal RNA
Source: RNAcentral